This is a non-coding RNA of Canis lupus familiaris (dog), 47 nucleotides long. The record is from Rfam. Lineage: Eukaryota; Metazoa; Chordata; Mammalia; Carnivora; Canidae.
ACAAAGGCUCUUUUCAGAGCUACCUCACUUGUCUGGAAAAGACCUGU